GACGAACGCUGGCGGCGUGCCUAAUACAUGCAAGUAGGCCGCAUUUGUGAACGGGUGAGUAAUGCGUAGGUAACUACCUACUAGAGGGGGAUAACUAUUGGAAACGAUAGCUAAUACCGCAUACUAGUAGAUGGACAUGCGUUGUAUUAGCUAGUAGGUAGGGUAAAGGUCUACCUAGGCAAUGGUACAUAGCCGACAUGAGAGGGUGGUCGGCCACACUGGGACUGAGACACGGCCCAGACUCCUACGGGAGGCAGCAGUAAGGAAGCUUCGGCAAUGGGGGGAACCCUGACCGAGCAACGCCGCGUGCGUGAAGAAGGUUUUCGGAUCGUAAAGCUCUGUUGUUAAGGAAGCGGUACUUAACCAGAAAGGGACGGCUAACUACGUGCCAGCAGCCGCGGUAAUUC
Molecule: ribosomal RNA, 407 nt
Filed under: uncultured bacterium
Lineage: Bacteria
Description: partial 16S ribosomal RNA
Rfam family: Bacterial small subunit ribosomal RNA
Source: RNAcentral